AACGAACGCUGGCGGCAGGCUUAACACAUGCAAGUCGAACGCCCCGCAAGGGGAGUGGCAGACGGGUGAGUACCGCGUGGGAACAUACCCUUUUCUACGGAAUAGCUCUGGGAAACUGGAAUUAAUACCGUAUACGCCCUACGGGGGAAAGAUUUAUCGGGGAAGGAUUGGCCCGCGUUGGAUUAGCUAGUUGGUGGGGUAAAGGCCUACCAAGGCGACGAUCCAUAGCUGGUCUGAGAGGAUGAUCAGCCACAUUGGGACUGAGACACGGCCCAAACUCCCUACGGAGGCAGGCGUGGGGGAAAAUUGGCCAUUGGCGGAAGCCUGAUCCAGCCAUGCCGCGUGAGUGAUGAAGGCCUUAGGGUUGUAAAGCUCUUUCACCGAUGAAGAUAAUGACGGUAGUCGGAGAAGAAGCCCCGGCUAACUUCGUG
RNAcentral lists this ribosomal RNA (431 nucleotides) under uncultured bacterium. RNAcentral's name for it is "partial 16S ribosomal RNA". It matches the Rfam family "Bacterial small subunit ribosomal RNA", at positions 29 to 507 of the family's 1533-position model. The record is from RNAcentral.